AAACAUAGCUAGUAGAAUAUUAAUUACUAGUGAUACCUGCCUAGCGAAAAAUUUUUAGCGGCCGCAGUACUCUGACUGUGCAAAGGUAGCAUAAUCAUUUGGCUUUUAAUUGGAGUCUCGCAUGAACGGAUAAACGUAUACAUACUGUCUUAAAUAAAAAUCUAUAAAAAUUAAUUAAGGAGGUGAAAAUACCUCUAUUAAACAAAAAAGACGAGAAGACCCUUAGAAUUUUUAGAAUAAAUAAUUCAAUUUAUUUGGUUUUUUGUUGGGGCAACAACUUUUCAAGUAAAACAAAAGUAGAAAUAUAUAACAUAACAAGUAAAAUUAAUUAAGUAUAAAUUACCUAAGGGAUAACAGCAUAAUUAUAUUAUUAGAUUGUGACCUCGAUGUUGGAUUAGGGGUUAUUAAGGCUAGAGGUUUUAAUAAAAUUAGUUCUGUUCGAACAUUAUCCCCUA
Molecule: ribosomal RNA, 455 nt
Filed under: Montenegrina prokletiana kovacsorum
Lineage: Eukaryota; Metazoa; Mollusca; Gastropoda; Stylommatophora; Clausiliidae
Description: partial 16S ribosomal RNA
Rfam family: Bacterial large subunit ribosomal RNA
Source: RNAcentral